GACGAACGCUGGCGGCGUGCUUAACACAUGCAAGUCGAACGGAAAGGCCCUGCUUUUGUGGGGUGCUCGAGUGGCGAACGCGUGAGUAACACGUGAGUAACCUGCCCUUGUCUUUGGGAUAACUUCAGGAAACUGGGGCUCAUAUCGGAUAGAAUCUCCUGCUGCAUGGUGUGGGUUGGAAAGUUUCGGCGGUUUGGGAUGGACUCGCGGCUUAUCCGCUUGUUGGUGGGGUAGUGGCUUACCCAGCCUUUGACGGGUAGCCGGCCUGAGAGCGUUACCGGCCACAUUGGGACUGAGAGACGGCCCAGAAGCCUACGGGAGGCAGCAGUGGGGAAUAUUGCACAAUGGGCGGAAGCCUGAUGCAGAAACGCCGCGUGCGGGAUGACGGCCUUCGGGUUGUAAACCGCUGUCGCCUGUAAUGAAGCGUGAGUGACGGUAAUGGGUAAAGAAGCACCGGCUAACUACGUG
This 468-nucleotide ribosomal RNA is filed under the name uncultured bacterium. RNAcentral's name for it is "partial 16S ribosomal RNA". It matches the Rfam family "Bacterial small subunit ribosomal RNA", at positions 28 to 507 of the family's 1533-position model. The record is from RNAcentral.